GGGCUUCCUUCAACAGUACAUUUACUACAAUUGAAAAGUUACGGUGAAGAUUAGCAUGGUGCCUGCACUAGCAGACAAGCAAAUUGGUGAAUCAUAUUCUU
Molecule: small nuclear RNA, 101 nt
Filed under: Octodon degus (degu)
Lineage: Eukaryota; Metazoa; Chordata; Mammalia; Rodentia; Octodontidae
Source: RNAcentral